RNAcentral lists this ribosomal RNA (428 nucleotides) under uncultured prokaryote. RNAcentral describes it as "partial 16S ribosomal RNA". The record is from RNAcentral.
CCUACGGGAGGCUGCGUGAUACGUACCUCCAGGUAUAAUCCUACUAAAAACGAGGAAGACCUCGGCAGAGUGGUCGAUGCGCUGAUAGAGCUGAGUGUCACUCAUCUUAUAACUAUAGGCGGUGACGAUACGGCCUAUACGGCUUCAUGUGUUGCUGAUUACGCCAUGAACAAGCGCGGACUCACGAUAAGCUUCGUACAUAUACCAAAAACAAUCGAUAAUGACCUGCCCCUGCCUGAAGGUAUCCCGACAUUUGGCUUUGAGACGGCAAGGUCGUUGGGUACACAACUCGUAUCCAACCUGAUGGAAGAUGCCAAGACCACCGGGCGCUGGUUCAUAGCAGUCGCUAUGGGAAGAACUGCCGGUCACCUUGCCCUCGGAAUGGGUAAGAGCGCGGGGGCCACAGUCACCGUAAUACCCGAGUAGUC